AAUUUUUAAAACAAACCAGAUGCUCCGCAGGGCGUAGCUUUAUACGACCGCAGAGGUUGAAACCUGAACAGUUGGGGCAAGUAUGGACACAACAUUCAAGCUGGAUUCAGCUCUAAAUUUGGAUUGUGAUUAAAUAGUUGACACAGCAUAGGUUUCUGACACAGAAUGAAUGUGUUCUAAUGAACUUAAAAUUUUUGUUUUCUCUUAGAGCAAUUAACUAUGCUGUUGAAUAUUAAUCCUCUCAAAAAAAUGUUUGAAGAAAUUUUCUUUUUAAUUUAUGAAAUUUCAAAUGAGAAAAAUUGAACCCAAUUUUUUUAAUCACAUCCCCCUUUCCUUUAUUCCAAAACUAAUCUCAAUUAAAAUUUCUAAUGGAGUUUGCAACAAUAACUACUCAUUUAAAUACAUCAUAAAAUAUUAAGAUGUAAAAAAACUGCUUGUUAUCACUGAAUGGUAAAGAUUAUU
RNAcentral lists this long non-coding RNA (462 nucleotides) under Mytilus galloprovincialis (Mediterranean mussel). Lineage: Eukaryota; Metazoa; Mollusca; Bivalvia; Mytilida; Mytilidae. The record is from RNAcentral.